RNAcentral lists this ribosomal RNA (482 nucleotides) under uncultured bacterium. RNAcentral describes it as "partial 16S ribosomal RNA". It matches the Rfam family "Bacterial small subunit ribosomal RNA", at positions 30 to 507 of the family's 1533-position model. The record is from RNAcentral.
AUUGAACGCUGGCGGCAUGCCUUACACAUGCAAGUCGAACGGUAACGGGCCUUCGGGUGCCGACGAGUGGCGAACGGGUGAGUAAUACAUCGGAACGUGCCCGAUCGUGGGGGGUAACGAGGCGAAAGCUUUGCUAAUACCGCAUACGAUCUACGGAUGAAAGCAGGGGACCGCAAGGCCUUGCGCGGACGGAGCGGCCGAUGGCAGAUUAGGUAGUUGGUGGGAUAAAAGCUUACCAAGCCGACGAUCUGUAGCUGGUCUGAGAGGAUGAUCAGCCACACUGGGACUGAGACACGGCCCAGACUCCUACGGGAGGCAGCAGUGGGGAAUUUUGGACAAUGGGCGCAAGCCUGAUCCAGCCAUGCCGCGUGCAGGAUGAAGGCCUUCGGGUUGUAAACUGCUUUUGUACGGAACGAAAAGCCUUCUUUUAAUACAGGAGGGUCAUGACGGUACCGUAAGAAUAAGCACCGGCUAACUACGUG